GCUCAACUUCAUAGUCUCAAAUUUCAGGAUGUCUGAAAGCCAAACCUACUAAAUCAUUAAACAGAAAAGUAUCCUCAACUAAAUCAGCCUCUUCAUUUGAGGCAUUAUUAAUAGUUCGAACUAAGAAAAGCAAGGGAAUCCACGAAAAUCCAGAAUAUAGCUAGAAUAUCCUUCACAACUCCGCAUAUAUAACUAGCUGUAACAGUAUUUCAUCUUUAGUGAGACAACAAUGAGUCAUUAUGAAAGAAAACAGUUUGAUGUAUAUUGACAUACACUGCAAAGUUGACCAUUGGGGUACUUCGACAUUGCUGGUUCAAGCCCAGAUUGCAAGUCUCACGCCUACUUUCACAUUCAGUUGUGUCCAUGAUGUUUGCUAAAAGAGUGGCGCGCCAAGAGCUUCCUACCUGGUGCACGAUGAUCAUCCUUGUACAGAGAUGCAGCUGAUUCAGAUUCAACAGUUUGGACUGGAAUAUGUCCAAGUGACUGGAAAGAAUCCAAAGCAUCUAAUGUUAGCUGCCAACCACAGAGAGCAAUAGCACCAGAGUUGGAAGAGGAACUGCCACUAUUACUGCAGCCAGCAGCAGCAACAUUUCCAUUAACCCAAGGACAGAAAAAAUUAUGAUGCUUAAUUGGAUCAAAUUCAACAGCUUCUUCGUAGUUGCUUUCUCCAAUAGGAGGCCCUGGAUAACAUUUGUUUUCAUCAUUUCAGCAAGCUAUGAAUAACCAAAUCAGUAAAACCUGAAUAAAAGAAGAAAAAAAAAUACUUGAAAGUAUAAAAGCAAUGAUGCCUAAAAUGAAAAAAGGUGAAGUCCCAAUCAAGGAAUAUCAAGAAAGGUAAACGAUGCCUAAUUCCAUGGUAAGUUCCACCAGAGUUGUGCUGAAUCCAAUCACAGUAAGCAUCAGUAUGAAACAUUACAAGCCGUGAACCUGAAUAUGAGUUUAACUAUUCCAAGCUGAAUGAAGUCUAUUUUGUGAUGUUAUUAUCUAAUGAGAGAUGAGAUACUUACCAGAAUAUAGAAACUUCCCAAUGUAGCUGCAUUUUUAAAUCAAUACAAAGUGCUUUUGCACAUACAUUCAAACAGGUCUCUGAGAGAAAGAAGGGAGGUAGUAACAUACAGUAGAAACUGAUACCCUGAAACUCAAGCAUGAAGGUUACCUGUUCCAUUUGCUAGCAUAUAGUCUGACUCAACGAAUCCACAAUCAUCAGUAGCUGGUGCAUUAUUUUGGGUAACUUCUUCUUUGGAUGCUUCAUGGGCGGAACAUACAACAGCAUUGCAAGAAAGAGAAGGGUGUGGACUAUUUGGGAGCAUAGGUUGCACGUGACAAUUCUUUUCACCACUUUCAAUGGAUUCUGCUUUGGCAGAGCCAACAACUUUUGAGCCACUAUCAGCCCUUCCCACUGAACGAGACGUCAGAUCUUGACUAUCACCAUUAGGAUCUCCACGGUCCACCUCUUCAGGGACAUAGUCACCCAUAAGUCCUGGAUCUGGAGCAAAUUCACCUGUUUGCCCCUGAUUUUCAGUAAUUUCAGCAACCGCUUCUACCUCACCAGCAACGCUAUCUGCUCUAUGCACUGAAGCAUCUGUCCCAUGGAUUUCAGCUUCAUGACUAGCACCCAUUCCAAUACUUCCUCCACUGAUUCCAAAGCUAGGGCCAUCCCUCACAUUGGCAGUGGCAGUAUCAGCAUUCACGACUUCUUCAUCAUUUGUGCUACUAACACCCAUUUCACCAGCACUCCUGACCACAGCCGGACAAGUACUUUGUUGUGCUUGGUUACUGUAGUUCAAUUCUGAAGUUUCCACUGGGUCUGCACUUCUUAACAUAGAUGUAGAAGGGAAAUGAACAUCAUCAAAGUCUCCGGGAAGAUUCUCAACACUUUCCAUUGAAUCAUCUGUACCGUGAACCGUGUCCAUUGCAAUAACAGAUGAAACAUGUGUUGAGUCUCGAGUAGAGGGCACACCAGUUAGCUGUUCGUGUCUUCGGCCAAAGGUAUCAUCUCUGGGAGCACUUGUACCAAUCUCAAAACCAAGUGACAGGCUAGGACCAGCACCUGAUGAAUCCUUGCCAUAUGAAGUAUGGUGGGUCCCGAAGGCAUCAGACUGACAUGGGCGCUUUGAUGGGCCAGCUGAGUACUGACUACCAUCAUUUACUUCAUCUCCGUCACGGUCUAUCACAGUGCCUUCAACACUAUCAGCCGGUUGUAGAGGCAAUUGUGGCCUGUCAACCGUGCUUCCACCUUCCUCUAAGUUUCGUUUGCGGGAACUAGGGCCUCGAGAUUCAUAUGAAGCUGCUUGACCACCAACUUCACUGCUUGAAGGCUGCCCAGUAACUGGAUAUCUUCGUUUAUGUCCAUCUUCGAAUUGUUCAGGCUUUGCAUCCAUGUUCACCUGUGAAGAGGAUAAUCCACCAGCCAUUGUGAGAUUCAGAUCUACUCCUAUAUUUGACAAAGACCUUCCCACAUCAUUUGUUGCAGCCUCAUCAAGGUCCUCUGUCUGUUCCUUUUCAACACCAUCAGCAGCAACCCACCCACUGAUUCCACUAGCAGCACUUGCUCCACGUGUCAAUGCCAUUUUCU
Molecule: unclassified non-coding RNA, 2575 nt
Filed under: Hevea brasiliensis (rubber tree)
Lineage: Eukaryota; Viridiplantae; Streptophyta; Magnoliopsida; Malpighiales; Euphorbiaceae
Source: RNAcentral